GCUGGGCAUGGUGGUGCAUGCCUGUAAUCCAGCACCUCAGGAGGCUGAGACUGGAGGAUUGCGAAUUCAAAGCUAGCCUCAGCAAAAGCAAGGCUUGACGCAACUCAGACCCUGUCUCUA
RNAcentral lists this small RNA (120 nucleotides) under Marmota monax (woodchuck). Lineage: Eukaryota; Metazoa; Chordata; Mammalia; Rodentia; Sciuridae. The record is from RNAcentral.